CCCCUAGAUGUUCUGGGCCGCACGCGCGCUACACUGAACAGUUCAACAAGUCUUAACCUUGGCCGAUAGGUCUGGGUAAUCUUUGAACGCUGUUCGUGAUUGGGAUAGACCUUUGCAAUUAUGGGUCUUCAACGAGGAAUUCCUAGUAAACGCAAGUCAUCAGCUCGCAUUGAUUACGUCCCUGCCCUUUGUACACACCGCCCGUCGCACCUACCGAUUGAAUGGUCCGGUGAAAUCUCGGGACGGCGGCUUGGUCGCUUGCGUCCGACUGCUGAAACUUGAUUAAACCAUAUCAUUUAGAGGAAGGUGAAGUCGUANCA
RNAcentral lists this ribosomal RNA (320 nucleotides) under uncultured eukaryote. Its description in RNAcentral is "partial 18S ribosomal RNA". It matches the Rfam family "Eukaryotic small subunit ribosomal RNA", at positions 1470 to 1796 of the family's 1831-position model. The record is from RNAcentral.